CUACGGGGUGCUCCAGUGAGGAAUAUUGCACAAUGGGGGGAACCCUGAUGCAGCAAUGCCGCGUGGAGGAUGACGCAUUUCGGUGUGUAAACUCCUUUUAUAUGUCAAGAAAAUGACGGUAGCAUAUGAAUAAGCACCGGCUAACUCCGUGCCAGCAGCCGCGGUAAUACGGAGGGUACAAGCGUUACUCGGAAUCACUGGGCGUAAAGGACGCGUAGGCGGGUUGGAAAGUCAGGUGUGAAAUCCUACAGCUUAACUGUAGAACUGCACUUGAAACUUCUAAUCUAGAGUAUGGGAGGGGGAGAUGGAAUUAGUGGUGUAGGGGUAAAAUCCGUAGAUAUCACUAGGAAUACCUAAAGCGAAGGCGAUCUCCUGGAACAUUACUGACGCUAAGGCGUGAAAGCGUGGGGAGCAAACAGGAUUAGAUACCCGAGUAGUC
Molecule: ribosomal RNA, 439 nt
Filed under: uncultured bacterium
Lineage: Bacteria
Description: partial 16S ribosomal RNA
Rfam family: Bacterial small subunit ribosomal RNA
Source: RNAcentral